RNAcentral lists this small RNA (454 nucleotides) under Pongo abelii (Sumatran orangutan). Its description in RNAcentral is "retained intron". Lineage: Eukaryota; Metazoa; Chordata; Mammalia; Primates; Hominidae. The record is from RNAcentral.
GUCCCAGAGCUCUUAUCUAGCAGUUGGUAAUCGGGGGUCUUUUACUGUAAUGCUUCUUUUGCUGAUAUCGUAUGUGCCUACUAGGGAAUUUCUCUUCAAUGCCAUUGAAACGUUGCCUUGUGUCAAGAAGAAGGCAGACUGGGCCUUGCGCUGGAUUGGGGACAAAGAGGCUACCUAUGGUGAACGUGUUGUAGCCUUUGCUGCAGUGGAAGGCAUCUUCUUUUCCGGUUCUUUUGCAUCGAUAUUCUGGCUCAAGAAACGAGGACUGAUGCCUGGCCUCACAUUUUCUAAUGAACUUAUUAGCAGAGAUGAGGUGAGUCUAAAUCAAAUAAUAGGGUGACCUAAACCCCAAACACAACUCGGGCAUACUCUUGUGUUCACUGACGGGGACCUGAGAUACUAGAUGGCAUAUAUCCACAUUUAAUGUGUGAGUUCAACCAUACACAUACUUGAC